UUACCGAGUUUACAACUCCCAAACCCAAUGUGAACGUUACCAAACUGUUGCCUCGGCGGGGUCACGCCCCGGGUGCGUCGCAGCCCCGGAACCAGGCGCCCGCCGGAGGAACCAACCAAACUCUUUCUGUAGUCCCCUCGCGGACGUAUUUCUUACAGCUCUGAGCAAAAAUUCAAAAUGAAUCAAAACUUUCAACAACGGAUCUCUUGGUUCUGGCAUCGAUGAAGAACGCAGCGAAAUGCGAUAAGUAAUGUGAAUUGCAGAAUUCAGUGAAUCAUCGAAUCUUUGAACGCACAUUGCGCCCGCCAGUAUUCUGGCGGGCAUGCCUGUCCGAGCGUCAUUUCAACCCUCGAACCCCUCCGGGGGAUCGGCGUUGGGGAUCGGGACCCCUCACACGGGUGCCGGCCCCGAAAUACAGUGGCGGUCUCGCCGCAGCCUCUCCUGCGCAGUAGUUUGCACAACUCGCACCGGGAGCGCGGCGCGUCCACGUCCGUAAAACACCCAACUUUCUGAAAUGUUGACCUCGGAUCAGGUAGGAAUACCCGCUGAACUUAAGCAUAUCAAUAA
RNAcentral lists this ribosomal RNA (567 nucleotides) under Trichoderma asperelloides. RNAcentral describes it as "eukaryotic LSU rRNA". The stretch from base 187 to 340 matches the Rfam family "5.8S ribosomal RNA". Lineage: Eukaryota; Fungi; Ascomycota; Sordariomycetes; Hypocreales; Hypocreaceae. The record is from RNAcentral.